Molecule: long non-coding RNA, 1104 nt
Filed under: Homo sapiens (human)
Lineage: Eukaryota; Metazoa; Chordata; Mammalia; Primates; Hominidae
Description: HSALNT0166313
Source: RNAcentral
UUCCUCCGGCAGAUACUUUAUCCCAGCCAUUUAUAAUGCUGACCAUUUAUAAUGCUGACCAGACUCAAAGUAACUAAAACCAGCUGUAACCAGAGACAUGCACAGACUCAAGUGUCCAGUUAUGUACUCUGUUGGAUGAUAUGACCUUCAAAAUUAAUCUUUGGGAAAUCAACUGCCUCUUCAUUCUUCCCCAGGCCUUCACAAUGAACAGAAAGCUGCAGUUUCCUCCUCUGUAUUCUUUCUCCACUCCCACUCGCCUCAUGUACCCCACUGACCCAGGUAUGAGAAACCCAGCCUGCACCUUCUAUAGCACCACAUGCCUAGACUGAGGAAAGAUCCACAAAUGCCACUCUUCUUCGAAUAGCCUACCUUCAUGAAGUCUCACCAACCCGCUGAAUAUGGACUCCAACGGUGCCCUAGGGGAUGGUGGAGCCACCAGAUGGAAGGAGCCUGGUGAUCCCGAGAAGGAGAGAUGCCUCGCUGACCUGAACAUCUUUCCAGAACUGUUAAAUGAAGCCUGCAGGACACCAGCUGACAGUGGAAGGACUGAGGAAGGUUGUAUAAUUUUGUGCAAGGUCCACCACAAAUCCAGCUGAAGAACUGCUCCAAAGUUUAGGUCAUGGCAAGAACAAGACUGGAUCACUCCAUGUCAGUGGAAACAUGUCCACCAACUUCAUCAUUGUCUGUUGUCAUGGUUCACUUUAGAUGUAAACUUGACUGGAUUAAGGAUUCCCUAAAGUGUCAGGCCUCUGAGCCCAAGCUAAGCCAUCAUAUCCCCUGUGACCUGCAUGUACACAUCCAGAUGGCCGGUUCCUGCCUUAACUGACGACAUUCCACCACAAAAGAAGUGAAAAUGGCCUGUUCCUGCCUUAACUGAUGACAUUAUCUUGUGAAAUUCCUUCUCCUGGCUCAUCCUGGCUCCAAAGCUCCCCCACUGAGCACCUUGUGACCCCCACUCCUGCCCACCAGAGAACAACCCCCUUUGACUGUAAUUUUCCUUUACCUUCCCAAAUCUUAUAAAAUGGCCCCACCCCAUCUCCCUUUGCUGACUUUCUUUUCAGACUCAGCCCUCCUGCAACCAGUUGAUUAAAAGCUUUAUUGCUC